CCUUCUCCUAUCGGGGUCUUCAGUCACUUCCGGAGCAUCAUCCCAGGCUGAGUGAGCUUGCCUGGCCGGCGAGGCACGAGCAGGAUGGCGGCGGCAGCGGCAGCGGCGGCGGCGGCUGCAGGCGCUGGCGAGAAGGAGACGAGUCAGCAGAGCAACCUGGGCGCCUACUCGCCCGUGGACUACAUGAGCAUCACCAGCUUCCCCCGCUUGCCCGAGGAAGAGCCGGGCAGCAGCUCCGGCGCUGCCGAGAGCUGCCUGCGCUCCAGGAAGGAGGAAGAUGCGUUUCUGGGCGAGCAGGACACUGAUCCAGAUUCCUUCUUGAAAUCAGCUCGCCUUCAGCGCCUUCCUUCCUCUUCAUCAGAAAUGGGCAGUCAGGACAUCUCCCCACUUCGAGAGACCAGCAAGGAUCCCUUCUCCGGAGACUGCAGCUGUCGCCAGGAUGGUCUGACUGUGAUCAUCACCGCCUGCCUAACAUUUGCUACAGGAGUUACGGUGGCCUUAAUCAUGCAGAUCUACUUUGGAGACCCGCAGAUAUUCCAUCAGGGUGCUGUAGUCACCGAUGCUGCCCGCUGCACUGCAUUGGGGAUCGAGGUCCUGAACAAACAAGGUUCCUCGGUAGAUGCAGCCAUCACCUCAGCCUUAUGCUCAGGCAUUAUCAACCCCCACACAGCUGGCAUUGGCGGUGGAGGAGUAAUGCUGGUUCAUGACAUCAGGAAGAAUGAGAGCCGAGUGAUUGAUUUCCGAGAGACAGCCCCUUUCAGCAUCCAAGAAGAGGGCCUUAGGAAGGCUUGGGAAACUAAGCCAGGACUCCUGGUUGGUGUUCCAGGCAUGAUCAAAGGACUACAUGAAGCACAUCAAUCUUAUGGGAGACUGCCGUGGAAACAGCUGCUGCGCCUCGCUGCAGAUGUAGCCCAGGAUGGAUUCAAUGUCACACAUGAUUUAGCAAUGGCUAUCCAAGAAGUGAAGCAACAGCAUAACUACUCCAAUAAAUUCAGAGAGACCUUCCUUCCAGAUGGCCAGCCCUUGUUGCCUGGCAGGGAGGUGAGAAGACCAGACUUGGCUGCUCUGUUAGACUUGCUUGGAUCAGGAGGGGUCUCGGCUUUCUACAGUGGAAAUGUGACACAAGAGAUUAUUUCAGAGGUCCGUAACUUUGGUGGUAUCCUGUCUGAAGAAGACUUCAGUAACUACACUGUCUUGGUGGAGAAUCCAGUCCAUACAGUAUAUCAAGGUCAUCUUGUCCUCAGCCCAUCACCUCCACAUGCAGGCCCUGCUCUGAUCACCGCUCUGAACAUCCUUGAGGGCUUCAAUAUCACCAGCCAGGUAGCCAGGGAAAAUAUUCUCCACUGGAUAGCAGAGACAUUAAAAAUAGUGCUGGCAUUAGCCAGCAGCUUGGGGGACCCUUUCUAUGAUGACUCAAUUAAUCACAGUGUGAAAGAAAUGAUGAGUAAAUCCAAUGCAAACUUCCUGCGUCAACUGAUUAAUGACUCCCAGUCUUUCCCUUCUGAUCCUCAUCUUCCACAUUUCCCCAUGGAAAGUGGCCCCUCCGCUAGCCAGGUCCUUGUCAUGGGACCUGAUGACUACAUUGUUGCUGUUGUAAGUUCCUUGAACCGACCAUUUGGAAGUGGAAUAAUGACUUCCUCUGGAAUCCUUCUGAACAGCCAGAUGCUGGAUUUUUCUUGGAUGAAUGAAACAGCGAACCAUUCUUCUCUCAGCUUGAGGAAUUUUAUUCAGCCAGGGAAAAGGCCUUUGUCUUUCUUACUUCCCACUGUUGUUCGGCCAUCGGAAGGCAUGUGUGGGACUUACCUUUGUUUGGGAGCCAAUGGGGGAGACAAAGCACUGAGCAGCAUUACACAGGUUUUAGUAAAUGUUUUAACAUAUAACAAGAACCUGAGCGAGAGUUUGUCUCUAGGCCGGCUUCACCCACAGCUUCAGUCUAACAUCCUGGAAUUUGACAGUAAAUUUCCUGAAGAAGAGAUUGACUACUUUGAAACCAGGGGUCAACGUGUGAAGAAAGUGGAGGUCCUCUCCCUAGUUCAUGGAGCCAGAAGAACCAAUAACUUCAUAAUUGGUGUGAAGGACCCAAGAAGUGGGGAUGCAGCAGGAGCCACAAUAUUAUAGCAACUCCCGGAUGGCUAUUUCAUGUACAACAGAGAGAUCUUUCUAAAUCAAGCACUGGAAACAUUCAAGAAGCAAACCUAUGGUGUAUACAAAAUGUACCAUUUUGAGAGUGGCAGUGGUAGUUUUGCUACCAUUUUAUACUUCUGUUCUGAGGAGCACCCAGAGCACCUUCUGCAGCAGGACUUUACAGAACUGGUGUCUUCUAGGUCUACUCUAUGAACUGCACAUUGUUUUAAUUAGUGUCUUCUUAUCUUCUCAGCAAAUUGUCUUGUCAAGUGUUACAUUAAACAUAUGGAUUGUAAAGAGCAAAUAACAUCUCAACAGAAUGCAUCUCCCCCAUGUACCCUCAGAUACUGGUCAACAUACUUUGCUGCUGGGAACCAAAAAGUAUAAUUCCACCUAAAGUUAAAAUGCAAGGUGUUUUUUUUAAAGAACAACAAAAUGUAAACAAAACACAGACACAAAUGUUAAAAUGUCAUGUUUACUGUAUAGCAUCGUUUUUAUUUGAAAAUAAGUAACACAACAAUGCAUUGUCAUCACAACUGUGUGAUUUUGUUCAGAAAACAAAAAUGUAUUCAUGCAGUUUCCCACCAAUAAGAAAAAGGCUGAAAUAAAAACAGUUUUCUUUUUGUA
RNA transcript from Hemicordylus capensis (graceful crag lizard), 2751 nucleotides. It is a transcript of the gene named gamma-glutamyltransferase 7, with no coding region annotated. The transcript has 17 exons. NCBI's taxonomy places the organism in Eukaryota, Metazoa, Chordata, Lepidosauria, Squamata, Cordylidae. The record is from RefSeq and is a predicted model, not a curated record.